AUUGAACGCUGGCGGCAUGCCUUACACAUGCAAGUCGAACGGCAGCGGGGGAGAAGCUUGCUUUUCCUGCCGGCGAGUGGCGAACGGGUGAGUAAUACAUCGGAACGUGCCCUGUAGUGGGGAUAACUAGUCGAAAGAUUAGCUAAUACCGCAUACGACCUGAGGGUGAAAGUGGGGGACCGCAAGGCCUCAUGCUAUAGGAGCGGCCGAUGUCUGAUUAGCUAGUUGGUGGGGUAAAGGCCUACCAAGGCGACGAUCAGUAGCUGGUCUGAGAGGACGAUCAGCCACACUGGGACUGAGACACGGCCCAGACUCCUACGGGAGGCAGCAGUGGGGAAUUUUGGACAAUGGGCGAAAGCCUGAUCCAGCAAUGCCGCGUGUGUGAAGAAGGCAUUCGGGUUGUAAAGCACUUUUGUCCGGAAAGAAAUGGCUCUGGUUAACACCUGGGGUCGAUGACGGUACCGGAAGAAUAAGGACCGGCUAACUACGUGCCAGCCGCCGCGGUAA
RNAcentral lists this ribosomal RNA (507 nucleotides) under uncultured bacterium. RNAcentral's name for it is "partial 16S ribosomal RNA". It matches the Rfam family "Bacterial small subunit ribosomal RNA", at positions 30 to 523 of the family's 1533-position model. The record is from RNAcentral.